Cricetulus griseus (Chinese hamster) is the source of this 107-nucleotide small nuclear RNA. The record is from Ensembl. Lineage: Eukaryota; Metazoa; Chordata; Mammalia; Rodentia; Cricetidae.
GUGCCUGCUUUAGUAGCACAUAUAUUAAAAUUGUAAUGAUAGAGAGACUAUUAACAUGGGCUCUGCACAGGGAUAACACUCAUAAAUACGAAUAAUCCACUGUUAAC